This 459-nucleotide ribosomal RNA is filed under the name uncultured bacterium. Its description in RNAcentral is "partial 16S ribosomal RNA". It matches the Rfam family "Bacterial small subunit ribosomal RNA", at positions 338 to 795 of the family's 1533-position model. The record is from RNAcentral.
CCUACGGGAGGCAGCAGUGAGGAAUAUUGGUCAAUGGGAGAGAUCCUGAACCAGCCAAGCCGCGUGAGGGAAGACGGCUCUAUGGGUUGUAAACCUCUUUUGUCGGAGAACAAAACCCGGGACGUGUCCAGGACUGCGUGUAUCCGAAGAAAAAGCAUCGGCUAACUCCGUGCCAGCAGCCGAGGUAAUACGGAGGAUGCGAGCGUUAUCCGGAUUUGUUGGGUUUAAAGGGUGCGUAGGCGGUCCGUUAAGUCAGCGGUAAAAUUGCGGAGCUCAACCCCGUCGAGCCGUUGAAACUGGCAGACUUGAGUUGGCGAGAGGUACGCGGAAUGCGCGGUGUAGCGGUGAAAUGCAUAGAUAUCGCGCAGAACUCCGAUUGCGAAGGCAGCGUACCGGCGCCAGACUGACGCUGAGGCACGAAAGCGUGGGGAUCGAACAGGAUUAGAUACCCUUGUAGUC